UAACGUUAGGCCAUGGUUACCAGGAGGU
Molecule: small RNA, 28 nt
Filed under: Bombyx mori (domestic silkworm)
Lineage: Eukaryota; Metazoa; Arthropoda; Insecta; Lepidoptera; Bombycidae
Description: ovarian small RNA-18916
Source: RNAcentral